AAAUUGAAGAGUUUGAUCAUGGCUCAGAUUGAACGCUGGCAGCAGGCCUAACACAUGCAAGUCGAACGGUAACAGGAAGCAGCUUGCUGUUUCGCUGACGAGUGGCGGACGGGUGAGUAAUGUCUGGGAAACUGCCUGAUGGAGGGGGAUAACUACUGGAAACGGUAGCUAAUACCGCAUAACGUCGCAAGACCAAAGAGGGGGACCUUCGGGCCUCUUGCCAUCGGAUGUGCCCAGAUGGGAUUAGCUAGUAGGUGGGGUAACGGCUCACCUAGGCGACGAUCCCUAGCUGGUCUGAGAGGAUGACCAGCC
RNAcentral lists this ribosomal RNA (312 nucleotides) under Shigella flexneri. RNAcentral describes it as "bacterial SSU rRNA". It matches the Rfam family "Bacterial small subunit ribosomal RNA", at positions 1 to 309 of the family's 1533-position model. Lineage: Bacteria; Pseudomonadati; Pseudomonadota; Gammaproteobacteria; Enterobacterales; Enterobacteriaceae. The record is from RNAcentral.